GGCCUGCUAGCCCAGUCGGUUAGGGCGUCGUGCUAAUAACGCGAAUGCCGUAGGUUCGAUUCCUGCGCAGGCCA
This 74-nucleotide transfer RNA is filed under the name Rhipicephalus microplus (southern cattle tick). RNAcentral describes it as "tRNA-Ile". It matches the Rfam family "tRNA". From Rfam's summary of the family: Transfer RNA (tRNA) molecules are approximately 80 nucleotides in length. Their secondary structure includes four short double-helical elements and three loops (D, anti-codon, and T loops). Lineage: Eukaryota; Metazoa; Arthropoda; Arachnida; Ixodida; Ixodidae. The record is from Rfam by way of RNAcentral.